RNAcentral lists this ribosomal RNA (2879 nucleotides) under Burkholderia multivorans. Its description in RNAcentral is "bacterial LSU rRNA". It matches the Rfam family "Bacterial large subunit ribosomal RNA". The record is from RNAcentral. Lineage: Bacteria; Pseudomonadati; Pseudomonadota; Betaproteobacteria; Burkholderiales; Burkholderiaceae.
UCAAGCGAACAAGUGCAUGUGGUGGAUGCCUUGGCGAUCACAGGCGAUGAAGGACGCGGUAGCCUGCGAAAAGCCCCGGGGAGCUGGCAAACAAGCUUUGAUCCGGGGAUGUCCGAAUGGGGAAACCCACUCCUUUUGGAGUAUCCAUGACUGAAUACAUAGGUCAUGUGAAGCGAACGCGGUGAACUGAAACAUCUAAGUAACCGCAGGAAAAGAAAUCAACCGAGAUUCCCAAAGUAGUGGCGAGCGAAAUGGGAUGAGCCUUGUACUCUUUAUUUGUAUUGUUAGCCGAACGCUCUGGAAAGUGCGGCCAUAGCAGGUGAUAGCCCUGUAGGCGAAAACAGUAUGAAAGAACUAGGUGUACGACAAGUAGGGCGGGACACGUGAAAUCCUGUCUGAAGAUGGGGGGACCAUCCUCCAAGGCUAAAUACUCGUGAUCGACCGAUAGUGAACCAGUACCGUGAGGGAAAGGCGAAAAGAACCCCGGGAGGGGAGUGAAAUAGAUCCUGAAACCGCAUGCAUACAAACAGUCGGAGCCUCGUAAGGGGUGACGGCGUACCUUUUGUAUAAUGGGUCAGCGACUUACGUUCAGUAGCAAGCUUAACCGUAUAGGGCAGGCGUAGCGAAAGCGAGUCCGAAUAGGGCGUUCAGUUGCUGGGCGUAGACCCGAAACCAGGUGAUCUAUCCAUGGCCAGGAUGAAGGUGCGGUAACACGUACUGGAGGUCCGAACCCACUAACGUUGAAAAGUUAGGGGAUGAGCUGUGGAUAGGGGUGAAAGGCUAAACAAACCUGGAAAUAGCUGGUUCUCUCCGAAAACUAUUUAGGUAGUGCCUCGUGUCUCACCUUCGGGGGUAGAGCACUGUCAUGGUUGGGGGGUCUAUUGCAGAUUACCCCGCCAUAGCAAACUCCGAAUACCGAAGAGUGCAAUCACGGGAGACAGACAUCGGGUGCUAACGUCCGGUGUCAAGAGGGAAACAACCCAGACCGCCAGCUAAGGUCCCCAAAUAUGGCUAAGUGGGAAACGAAGUGGGAAGGCUAAAACAGUCAGGAGGUUGGCUUAGAAGCAGCCACCCUUUAAAGAAAGCGUAAUAGCUCACUGAUCGAGUCGUCCUGCGCGGAAGAUGUAACGGGGCUAAGCCAUAUACCGAAGCUGCGGAUGCGUGCUUGCACGCAUGGUAGGAGAGCGUUCCGUAAGCCUGCGAAGGUGCCUUGUAAAGGGUGCUGGAGGUAUCGGAAGUGCGAAUGCUGACAUGAGUAGCGAUAAAGGGGGUGAAAGGCCCCCUCGCCGUAAGCCCAAGGUUUCCUACGCAACGUUCAUCGGCGUAGGGUGAGUCGGCCCCUAAGGCGAGGCAGAAAUGCGUAGCUGAUGGGAAGCAGGUCAAUAUUCCUGCACCGUCGUUAGAUGCGAUGGGGGGACGGAUCGCGGAAGGUUGUCCGGGUGUUGGACGUCCCGGUCGCUGCAUUGGAGAAGGCGCUUAGGCAAAUCCGGGCGCAGGAUUCAAGGGUGUGGCGCGAGCGACUUCGGUCGCGAAGCAAUUGGAAGUGGUUCCAAGAAAAGCCUCUAAGCUUCAGUCUAACGAUGACCGUACCGCAAACCGACACAGGUGGGCGAGAUGAGUAUUCUAAGGCGCUUGAGAGAACUCGGGAGAAGGAACUCGGCAAAUUGGUACCGUAACUUCGGGAUAAGGUACGCCCUUGUAGCUUGACCAGCCUGCGCUGGAAGGGUGAAGGGGUUGCAAUAAACUGGUGGCUGCGACUGUUUAAUAAAAACACAGCACUCUGCAAACACGAAAGUGGACGUAUAGGGUGUGACGCCUGCCCGGUGCCGGAAGAUUAAAUGAUGGGGUGCAAGCUCUUGAUUGAAGUCCCGGUAAACGGCGGCCGUAACUAUAACGGUCCUAAGGUAGCGAAAUUCCUUGUCGGGUAAGUUCCGACCUGCACGAAUGGCGUAACGAUGGCCACACUGUCUCCUCCCGAGACUCAGCGAAGUUGAAGUGUUUGUGAUGAUGCAAUCUACCCGCGGCUAGACGGAAAGACCCCAUGAACCUUUACUGUAGCUUUGCAUUGGACUUUGAACCGAUCUGUGUAGGAUAGGUGGGAGGCUAUGAAACCGGAACGCUAGUUUCGGUGGAGCCGUCCUUGAAAUACCACCCUGGUUUGUUUGAGGUUCUAACCUUGGUCCGUGAUCCGGAUCGGGGACAGUGCAUGGUAGGCAGUUUGACUGGGGCGGUCUCCUCCCAAAGGGUAACGGAGGAGUACGAAGGUACGCUAGGUACGGUCGGAAAUCGUGCUGAUAGUGCAAUGGCAUAAGCGUGCUUAACUGCGAGACCGACAAGUCGAGCAGGUGCGAAAGCAGGUCAUAGUGAUCCGGUGGUUCUGUAUGGAAGGGCCAUCGCUCAACGGAUAAAAGGUACUCUGGGGAUAACAGGCUGAUACCGCCCAAGAGUUCAUAUCGACGGCGGUGUUUGGCACCUCGAUGUCGGCUCAUCUCAUCCUGGGGCUGUAGCCGGUCCCAAGGGUAUGGCUGUUCGCCAUUUAAAGAGGUACGUGAGCUGGGUUUAAAACGUCGUGAGACAGUUUGGUCCCUAUCUGCCGUGGGCGUUGGAUAUUUGAAGGGGGCUGCUCCUAGUACGAGAGGACCGGAGUGGACGAACCUCUGGUGUACCGGUUGUGACGCCAGUCGCAUCGCCGGGUAGCUAUGUUCGGAAGAGAUAACCGCUGAAAGCAUCUAAGCGGGAAACUCGCCUUAAGAUGAGAUAUCCCUGGAGGCUUGACCUCCUUGAAGGGUCGUUCGAGACCAGGACGUUGAUAGGUCGGGUGUGUAAGCGCAGUAAUGCGUUCAGCUAACCGAUACUAAUUGCCCGUAAGGCUUGAUCCU